RNAcentral lists this ribosomal RNA (460 nucleotides) under uncultured bacterium. RNAcentral describes it as "partial 16S ribosomal RNA". It matches the Rfam family "Bacterial small subunit ribosomal RNA", at positions 338 to 795 of the family's 1533-position model. The record is from RNAcentral.
CCUACGGGUGGCAGCAGUGAGGAAUAUUGGUCAAUGGGCGAGAGCCUGAACCAGCCAAGUCGCGUGAGGGAAGACGGUCCUAUGGAUUGUAAACCUCUUUUGUCGGGGAGCAAAAAGGCCUCGUGAGGCCACAAGUGAGAGUACCCGAAGAAAAAGCAUCGGCUAACUCCGUGCCAGCAGCCGCGGUAAUACGGAGGAUGCGAGCGUUAUCCGGAUUUAUGGGGUUUAAAGGGUGCGCAGGCGGUCUGUUAAGUCAGCGGUCAAAGCCCGGGGCUCAACCCCGGCCCGCCGUUGAAACUGGCAGUCUCGAGUUGGAGAGAGGUAUGCGGAAUGCGCGGUGUAGCGGUGAAAUGCAUAGAUAUCGCGCAGAACUCCGAUUGCGAAGGCAGCAUGCCGGCUCCACACUGACGCUGAGGCACGAAAGCGUGGGUAUCGAACAGGAUUAGAUACCCCUGUAGUC